RNAcentral lists this ribosomal RNA (520 nucleotides) under Thalamita stephensoni. Its description in RNAcentral is "partial 16S ribosomal RNA". It matches the Rfam family "Bacterial large subunit ribosomal RNA", at positions 1852 to 2621 of the family's 2925-position model. Lineage: Eukaryota; Metazoa; Arthropoda; Malacostraca; Decapoda; Portunidae. The record is from RNAcentral.
GUCUAGCCUGCUCACUGAUAAUUAAUAUUAAAUAGCCGCGGUAUCUUGACCGUGCAAAGGUAGCAUAAUCAUUAGUUUUUUAAUUGGAAACUUGUAUGAACGGUUGGACAAAGAAGAGACUGUCUCUUUUAUUAAAGUUGAAUUUGACUUUUAAGUGAAAAGGCUUAGAUUUUCUAGAGGGACGAUAAGACCCUAUAAAGCUUUAUAAGUUCAGAGAUUUUAUACAUUUUUUCAUAACAACAAUUUCUUGAAUAUUUAUUUGGUUGGGGCGACAAUAGUAUAAUAAAAGUAACUGCUUUUAAAUUAAACAUAAAUAUGUGAGUUAUAUUUAAUUGAUCCUUUUUAAAGAUUUUAAGAUUAAGUUACUUUAGGGAUAACAGCGUUAUUUUUCCUGAGAGCUCUUAUCAAAGGAAAAGUUUGCGACCUCGAUGUUGAAUUAAAAUCUCUAUAUAGUGCAGCAGCUAUAAAAGAAGGUCUGUUCGACCUUUAAUAUUUUACAUGAUUUGAGUUCAAAACCGGA